UACAUGCAAGUCGGACGGGGUCCAGUCGGAGAGCUUGCUCGAAGACGGUGAGAGUGGCGCACGGGUGCGUAACGCGUGAGCAACCUACCUCUAUCAGGGGGAUAGCCUCUCGAAAGAGAGAUUAACACCGCAUAAUAUAUCUGACCGGCAUCGGUUAGCUAUUAAAUAUUUAUAGGAUAGAGAUGGGCUCGCGUGACAUUAGCUAGUUGGUAGGGUAACGGCUUACCAAGGCGACGAUGUCUAGGGGCUCUGAGAGGAGAAUCCCCCACACUGGUACUGAGACACGGACCAGACUCCUACGGGAGGCAGCAGUAAGGAAUAUUGGUCAAUGGGCGGAAGCCUGAACCAGCCAUGCCGCGUGCAGGAUGACUGCCCUAUGGGUUGUAAACUGCUUUUGUCCAGGAAUAAACCUAGAUACGUGUAUCUAGCUGAAUGUACUGGAAGAAUAAGGAUCGGCUAACUCCGUGCCAGCAGCCGCGGUAAUACGGAGGAUCCGAGCGUUAUCCGGAUUUAUUGGGUUUAAAGGGUGCGUAGGCGGCCUAUUAAGUCAGGGGUGAAAUACGGUGGCUCAACCAUCGCAGUGCCUUUGAUACUGAUGGG
RNAcentral lists this ribosomal RNA (600 nucleotides) under Sphingobacterium sp. GN25. RNAcentral describes it as "bacterial SSU rRNA". It matches the Rfam family "Bacterial small subunit ribosomal RNA", at positions 52 to 640 of the family's 1533-position model. The record is from RNAcentral. Lineage: Bacteria; Pseudomonadati; Bacteroidota; Sphingobacteriia; Sphingobacteriales; Sphingobacteriaceae.